This 399-nucleotide ribosomal RNA is filed under the name uncultured bacterium. Its description in RNAcentral is "bacterial SSU rRNA". It matches the Rfam family "Bacterial small subunit ribosomal RNA", at positions 64 to 507 of the family's 1533-position model. The record is from RNAcentral.
GAGCGCUCGUAGCAAUACGAGAGCGGCAGACGGGAGAGUAACACGUGGGAACGUACCCUUCGGUUCGGAAUAACCCAGGGAAACUUGGGCUAAUACCGGAUACGUCCGUAAGGAGAAAGAUUUAUCGCCGAAGGAUCGGCCCGCGUCCGAUUAGCUAGUUGGUGAGGUAAUGGCUCACCAAGGCGACGAUCGGUAGCUGGUCUGAGAGGAUGAUCAGCCUCACUGGGACUGAGACACGGCCCAGACUCCUACGGGAGGCAGCAGUGGGGAAUAUUGGACAAUGGGCGCAAGCCUGAUCCAGCCAUGCCGCGUGGGUGAUGACGGCCUUAGGGUUGUAAAGCCCUUUCGGCGGGGAAGAUAAUGACGGUACCCGCAGAAGAAGCCCCGGCUAACUUCGUG